Molecule: non-coding RNA, 1363 nt
Organism: Lolium perenne
Lineage: Eukaryota; Viridiplantae; Streptophyta; Magnoliopsida; Poales; Poaceae
Source: RefSeq, a predicted model, not a curated record
GGGCAACUAGAGCGUCCGCCUGCUCGCGUACAUCCUGCCAGUGGUCUCCGCUCUGGUACCCUGUCCGAUCCAAAUUCCCCUUCUCCCUUUCUUUUUGAAUCCCCUCACUCAUGUUCGUCAAUCUGUUAGGGUUGGUCAUUCGCUCGAAGUCAGCUCGACAUAUCGCCUCCCCCAAUUUAUGUGGUCUUUCUAUUGGAUUUCUUAUGGAUUCCAUGUGUUGGUCGCUCAAGGAAUGUCCCCCAAAUUUUGUGGUCUUUCAAUUGGAUUUUCGAUUUUCCCAUAUUUUCAAUGGGCGAUGGCAAGAACUAUAGAAGAUUUGCCAAGGAUGUCUAAUAGCUGCAGGAAAAUUUUGAACUGCAUUUCUCCUAUAAGCAGCCUCCGCAGCCUACAGGCGCUAGGUGAGAGAGAAACCAAAAAUUCUGCAAGCAGAGGAUUUACAGAGAAAGUGACACAGUUUACUGAAAGUAGGUGAUGAGGUGAAAGCAUGUAAUUCUUUCACUCUACGCCAUAUUAGUUUCUCUAACUUUCUCUUUGUUUCUUUUGAUCCUGUUGCGUCUGUUGCUCUCCUGAUCUGCCUGCCUCCAUGUCUUAAUUCUACUUCUAUAUAGUUUUUUGCAUGCUACGUGUUUGAUGAAAUUCCUAGAGAUGUCCACGAAGGAGAUAAGGCAAAUAGAUCGUCUCCUUUCUUCCUACUCGAUCUUCGGCGGGGUCGAAUGCUUUCCUGGUCGAGGUUCAGUACAUCUGCCAGGCAUAGGGUUCUCAGCUCGAUUCUCUCUCUGUAUAAGCUAAGUGAUUAAACGAUGAGAGUCGCUCAAUAUCCUUGGCUGGCUCCUUCAUGAGGCUUCUAAUUGUACUUCCGUAGAGAAUAGCAUUGCUUAGUAAUUGAAUAAUAUUUUGCAGUACAAAUUUUUAGUGCACUCCUAAUGAUUAGUAUCUAUUACUUUUUCCCUUGAAUUUUAAGCUUAUUACAUACACUUUUUGUUACAUACAGGUUAAAUGCGGUAGGUUGUAUAUCUGGAAGGUAGAAAAUGCAUUAGUGGAACGAUUGAUGCUACCAAUAUAUCUGCUUUGAUUAGAAUGAGCUUUUCCCAAAUUUUAGGGGACCGGAAGCCUGCGGAUGUUGGGAUAAAUCAAGCUCAUGAAAGUAUGAAUGUAUAUGAGUAGUAUUUUCUGAAGUACCAUUUUUUUAUUGUCUCACUUAGCUUCGAUUUGUUAUACUCCCACCUUUAUUAUAAGGAAGACAGCGGCGUGGCUGCCACAGGCACCUGUGGCUACAACUGCUACACAUUCAGUUCUCUCUUAGUUUUGAUUUCCUCAUGAUCUUCUCCCAUUCAUUGUGGUUCAGGCGCUCCAAAUGUGAUGU